AGUUUGAUCAUGGCUCAGAUUGAACGCUGGCGGGAUGCUUUACACAUGCAAGUCGAACGGCAGCACGGACUUCGGUCUGGUGGCGAGUGGCGAACGGGUGAGUAAUGUAUCGGAACGUGCCUAGUAGCGGGGGAUAACUACGCGAAAGCGUAGCCUGGCCUACAUACGCCCUUCGGGGGAAAGCGGGGGACCUUCGGGCCUCGCACUAUUAGAGCGGCCGAUAUCGGAUUAGCUAGUUGGUGGGGUAACGGCUCACCAAGGCGACGAUCCGUAGCUGGUUUGAGAGGACGACCAGCCACACUGGGACUGAGACACGGCCCAGACUCCUACGGGAGGCAGCAGUGGGAAUUUUGGACAAUGGGGAAACCCUGAUCCAGCCAUCCCGCGUGUGCGAUGAAGGCCUUCCGGGUUGUAAAGCACUUUUGGCAGGAAAAAAACGGCACGGGAUAAGCCCGUGCAACUGACGAAACACCUGCAGAAUAAGCACCGGCUAACUACGUGCAGCAGCCGCGGUAAUACGUAGGGUGCAAGCGUUAAUCGGAAUUACUGGGCGUAAAGCGUGCGCGAGCGGUUGGAAAGAAAGAUGUGAAAUCCCAGAGCUUAACUUUGGAACUGCAUUUUUAACUACCGAGCUAGAGUGUGUCAGAGGGAGGUGGAAUUCCGCGUGUAGCAGUGAAAUGCGUAGAUAUGCGGAGGAACACCGAUGGCGAGAGAGCAGCCUCCUGGGAUAACACUGACGCUCAUGCACGAAAGCGUGGGAGCAAACAGGAUUAGAUACCCUGGUAGUCCACGCCCUAAACGAUGUCAACUAGCUGUUGGGGCCUUCGGGCCUUGGUAGCGCAGCUAACGCGUGAAGUUGACCGCCUGGGGAGUACGGUCGCAAGAUUAAAACUCAAAGGAAUUGACGGGGACCCGCACAAGCGGUAGAUGAUGUGGAUUAAUUCGAUGCAACGCGAAAAACCUUACCCUACCCUUGACAUGUCUGGAAUCCCGAAAGAGAUUUGGGAGUGCUCGCAAGAGAACCGGAACACAGGUGCUGCAUGGCUGUCGUCAGCUCGUGUCGUGAGAUGUUGGGUUAAGUCCCGCAACGAGCGCAACCCUUGUCAUUAGUUGCUACGAAAAGGGCACUCUAAUGAGACUGCCGGUGACAAACCGGAGGAAGGUGGGGAUGACGUCAAGUCCUCAUGGCCCAUAUGGGUAGGGCCCCACACGUCAUACAAUGGUCGGGACAGAGGGUCGCCAACCCGCGAGGAGCCAAUCCCGAGGGAAACCCGAUCGUAGUCCGGAUCAUGAUCUGCAACUCGACUGCGUGAAGUCGGAAUCGCUAGUAAUCGCGGAUCAGCAUGUCGCGGUGAAUACGUUCCGGGUCUUGUACACACCGCCCGUCACACCAUGGGAGUGGGUUUUACCAGAAGUAGUUAGCUAACCAUGGGGGCGAUUACCACGGUAGGAUUCAUGACUGGGGUGAAGUCGUAACAAGGUAG
Molecule: ribosomal RNA, 1484 nt
Filed under: uncultured Bordetella sp.
Lineage: Bacteria; Pseudomonadati; Pseudomonadota; Betaproteobacteria; Burkholderiales; Alcaligenaceae
Description: partial 16S-23S ribosomal RNA intergenic spacer
Rfam family: Bacterial small subunit ribosomal RNA
Source: RNAcentral